This 270-nucleotide ribosomal RNA is filed under the name uncultured bacterium. RNAcentral describes it as "partial 16S ribosomal RNA". It matches the Rfam family "Bacterial small subunit ribosomal RNA", at positions 501 to 770 of the family's 1533-position model. The record is from RNAcentral.
AUACGUGCCAGCAGCCGCGGUAAUACGUAUGGUGCAAGCGUUAUCCGGAUUUACUGGGUGUAAAGGGAGCGUAGACGGAUAGGCAAGUCUGGAGUGAAAGCCCGGGGCUCAACCCCGGGACUGCUUUGGAAACUGUUUAUCUAGAGUGCUGGAGAGGUAAGUGGAAUUCCUAGUGUAGCGGUGAAAUGCGUAGAUAUUAGGAGGAACACCAGUGGCGAAGGCGGCUUACUGGACAGUAACUGACGUUGAGGCUCGAAAGCGUGGGGAGCA